Molecule: ribosomal RNA, 207 nt
Filed under: uncultured bacterium
Lineage: Bacteria
Description: partial 16S ribosomal RNA
Rfam family: Bacterial small subunit ribosomal RNA
Source: RNAcentral
CGCGCAGGCGGUCGUUCAAGUCGAGUGUGAAAGCCCCCGGCUCAACUGGGGAGGGUCACUCGAUACUGAUCGACUCGAAGGCAGGAGAGGGAAGCGGAAUUCCCGGUGUAGUGGUGAAAUGCGUAGAUAUCGGGAGGAACACCAGUGGCGAAGGCGGCUUUCUGGCCUGUUCUUGACGCUGAGGCGCGAAAGCUAGGGUAGCGAAAC